AGAUGGGCUCGCGUCUGAUUAGCUAGUUGGUGAGGUAACGGCUCACCAAGGCGACGAUGCGUAGCCGACCUGGGAGGGUGAUCGGCCACACUGGGACUGAGACACGGCCCAGACUCCUACGGGAGGCAGCAGUAGGGAAUCUUCCGCAAUGGACGAAAGUCUGACGGAGCAACGCCGCGUGAGUGAUGAAGGUUUUCGGAUCGUAAAACUCUGUUGUUAGGGAAGAACAAGUACGAGAGUAACUGCUCGUACCUUGACGGUACCUAACCAGAAAGCCACGGCUAACUACGUGCCAGCAGCCGCGGUAAUACGUAGGUGGCAAGCGUUGUCCGGAAUUAUUGGGCGUAGAGCGCGCGCAGGCGGUCUCUUAAGUCUGAUGUGAAAGCCCACGGCUCAACCGUGGAGGGUCAUUGGAAACUGGGAGACUUGAGUGCAGAAGAGAAGAGUGGAAUUCCACGUGUAGCGGUGAAAUGCGUAGAGAUGUGGAGGAACACCAGUUGGCGAAGGCGACUCUUUUGGUCUGUAACUGACGCUGAGGCGCGAAAGCGUGGGGAGCAAACAGGAUUAGAUACCCCUGGUAGUCCACGCCGUAAACGAUGAGUGCUAAGUGUUAAAAGGGUUUCCGCCCCUUUAGUGCUGCAGCAAACGCAUUAAGCACUCCGCCCUGGGGGAGUACCGGCCGCAAGGCUGAAA
RNAcentral lists this ribosomal RNA (693 nucleotides) under uncultured bacterium. RNAcentral's name for it is "bacterial SSU rRNA". It matches the Rfam family "Bacterial small subunit ribosomal RNA", at positions 223 to 899 of the family's 1533-position model. The record is from RNAcentral.